RNAcentral lists this ribosomal RNA (804 nucleotides) under uncultured Veillonellaceae bacterium. Its description in RNAcentral is "bacterial SSU rRNA". It matches the Rfam family "Bacterial small subunit ribosomal RNA", at positions 73 to 851 of the family's 1533-position model. The record is from RNAcentral. Lineage: Bacteria; Bacillati; Bacillota; Negativicutes; Veillonellales; Veillonellaceae.
AGGGAGCUUGCUCCCUUGAAGUUAGUGGCGAACGGGUGAGUAACGCGUAAUCAACCUGCCCUUCAGAGGGGGAUAACAACGGGAAACUGUUGCUAAUACCGCGUACGAUUCAUGAACGGCAUCGUUUAUGAAUGAAAGAUGGCCUCUAUGUAUAAGCUAUCGCUGAAGGAGGGGAUUGCGUCUGAUUAGCUAGUUGGAGGGGUAACGGCCCACCAAGGCAAUGAUCAGUAGCCGGUCUGAGAGGAUGAACGGCCACAUUGGGACUGAGACACGGCCCAAACUCCUACGGGAGGCAGCAGUGGGGAAUCUUCCGCAAUGGACGAAAGUCUGACGGAGCAACGCCGCGUGAGUGAUGAAGGUCUUCGGAUUGUAAAGCUCUGUUAAUCGGGACGAAAGAGUUCUGUGUAAAUAAUGCAGAAAAGUGACGGUACCGGAAUAGAAAGCCACGGCUAACUACGUGCCAGCAGCCGCGGUAAUACGUAGGUGGCAAGCGUUGUCCGGAAUUAUUGGGCGUAAAGCGCGCGCAGGCGGCCUAUCCAGUCUGUCUUAAAAGUUCGGGGCUUAACCCCGUGAUGGGAUGGAAACUAGUAGGCUAGAGUAUCGGAGAGGAAAGCGGAAUUCCUAGUGUAGCGGUGAAAUGCGUAGAUAUUAGGAAGAACACCAGUGGCGAAGGCGGCUUUCUGGACGAAAACUGACGCUGAGGCGCGAAAGCCAGGGGAGCGAACGGGAUUAGAUACCCCGGUAGUCCUGGCCGUAAACGAUGGGUACUAGGUGUAGGAGGUAUCGACCCCUUCUGUGCCGGAG